UACCAGCUCUCCGAGUGGUGUGGAUGUUUAUUGGGCCUAAAGCAUCCGUAGCUGGCUGGGCAAGUCCCCUGUUAAAUCCACUGAUUUAAUCAUUGGAGUGCGGGGGAUACUGCUCGGCUAGGGGACGGGAGAGGCAGACGGUAUUUUCGGGGUAGGGGUGAAAUCCUAUAAUCCCGGGAAGACCACCAGUGGCGAAGGCUGUCUGCUAGAACGCGCCCGACGGUGAGGGAUGAAAGCUGGGGGAGCGAACCGGAUUAGAUACCCGGGUAGUCCCAGCUGUAAACGAUGCAGGCUAGGUGUUUGGGCGGCCACGUGCCGCUCUAGUGCCGCAGGGAAGCCGUUAAGCCUGCCGCCUGGGGAGUACGGCCGCAAGGCUGAAACUUAAAGGAUUGGCGGGGAGCACAGCAACGGGAGGAGCGUGCGGUUU
This 427-nucleotide ribosomal RNA is filed under the name uncultured archaeon. RNAcentral's name for it is "bacterial SSU rRNA". It matches the Rfam family "Archaeal small subunit ribosomal RNA", at positions 474 to 903 of the family's 1478-position model. The record is from RNAcentral.